Molecule: ribosomal RNA, 469 nt
Filed under: uncultured Streptococcus sp.
Lineage: Bacteria; Bacillati; Bacillota; Bacilli; Lactobacillales; Streptococcaceae
Description: bacterial SSU rRNA
Rfam family: Bacterial small subunit ribosomal RNA
Source: RNAcentral
GACGGGGACCCGCACAAGCGGUGGAGCAUGUGUUUAAUUCGAAGCAACGCGAAGAACCUUACCAGGUCUUGACAUCCCGAUGCUUAUUUCUAGAGAUAGAAAGUUACUUCGGUACAUCGGUGACAGGUGGUGCAUGGUUGUCGUCAGCUCGUGUCGUGAGAUGUUGGGUUAAGUCCCGCAACGAGCGCAACCCCUAUUGUUAGUUGCCAUCAUUCAGUUGGGCACUCUAGCGAGACUGCCGGUAAUAAACCGGAGGAAGUGGGGAUGACGUCAAAUCAUCAUGCCCCCUAUGACCUGGGCUACACACGUGCCUACAAUGGUUGGUACAACGAGUUGCGAGUCGGUGACGGCGAGCUAAUCUCUUAAAGCCAAUCUCAGUUCGGAUUGUAGGCUGCAACUCGCCUACAUGAAGUCGGAAUCGCUAGUAAUCGCGGAUCAGCACGCCGCGGUGAAUACGUUCCCGGGCCUU